Molecule: transfer RNA, 77 nt
Filed under: Candidatus Peregrinibacteria bacterium
Lineage: Bacteria; Candidatus Peregrinibacteriota
Description: tRNA-Pro
Rfam family: tRNA
About the family: Transfer RNA (tRNA) molecules are approximately 80 nucleotides in length.
Source: RNAcentral
CGGGGUGUAGCGCAGUUGGCUAGCGCGUCUGCUUUGGGAGCAGAAGGUCCACAGUUCAAAUCUGUGCACCCCGACCA